This 5952-nucleotide small RNA is filed under the name Pan troglodytes (chimpanzee). RNAcentral's name for it is "retained intron". The record is from RNAcentral. Lineage: Eukaryota; Metazoa; Chordata; Mammalia; Primates; Hominidae.
AACCUUUCUAAGUACCGGAUGUGUAAUAUUAAAUAUGUAGUUAACCAAGGACAGAGCCUGCACCUAAUGACUUUUGGAGGAUCCUUCUUGCUCAAGACACUAUGAUUCUCAUUACCUGGAUAGUAUUCACCUAUGGAUUGUAUCAUAUAUGAACCACUGAGGAACACACAUUCCUGCAGAUGUUUGCAGAUUAUUAAUUGCUUUAUAUUUGGAGCACCCCUCCCUUCAAUCAGCAUAAAUAUUUGAGGGUGGGCUGUGUUUAGAUGUUUAGUCCCCAAUGAUUACAACAUGAUGCACCACCCUCCUAUACAAAUUUUGAUUUAAGAAAAGAUCUUAUUUUUCAAAGGAAACCACAAGUGAAAGCAAUCUUGAAGAUUCAAUAGCAGUUGAUCAUAUAGUGCCAGGUAAGAACUUUGAAGUAGCACGUGGGAUUAUAUGUAUUUGUAAAUAUAUUUGUAUACAGGGCAGUUGCAAAAAAAAGAGUAUUUAUAAUUGUCCAAAGAGCUUCCAAAGAGGAGCAGCAUUGCAACAGUGUCGUGUAUGAGCAAAAGUCAAGAUUCUUGUGGCUUCUCCAGAGUGCAGGCAGGACCAAACUGAUAGUAGGCAACGUGUCUCAGGUACAAGGAAACCAGUCCUUAGAAGCACCAAUCAGUAAACUUCUUUCCUGAGAUUUUUAUUUUUAUUCAUUUUAUUUUAUUUUAUUUGAGACUGGGUCUUACUUUGUCACCCAGGCUGGAAUGCAAUGACAAGAUCAUGGCUCACUGCAGUGUCGACCUCCCAGGCUCAAGUGAUCCUCCCAUCUCAGCCUCCCCAGUAGCUGGGACCACAAGCAUGUGCCACCACACCUGGCUAAUUUUUGUAUUUUUUGUAGAGACAGGGUUUUGCCAUGUUGGCCAGGCUGGUCUUGAACUCCUAGGCUCAAGCAAUUCGCCUGCCUCGGUCUCCCACAGUGCUGGGAUUAUAGGCAUGAGUCACUUUGCCUGGCCUCUUUCCUGAGAUGCAUGGUGCUUAUGAUAAGCACACAUUAUGUCUAGGUCCCUGCUUCAAGUGUGGCACUUUGGACACAUGCUUCCCACAUUCUGAUUUUGUGCCAAAACCUAUGAGAUGAUCGCAAUGUGGGAAUCAUGGAUGGCUGUGGAAAAUCCUAACACAUUCGUAGUAGACAGGCAGAAUCAUGGAAUGAAAAGGGUAUGGUGUUCAGACUGAGGGAGAUGUGACUAUGAAUCCCUGUUGUGCCCCCCUUUCUUUCUCUCCACAGAAAUGGCACAGGGUGAAGCCCGAUGGUUUCAAGAGGCAAAGAAUCUGAAUGAGCAGCUGAGAGCAGCUUAUACCAGCGCCAGUUUCCGCCACAUGUCUUUGCUUGAUAUCUCUUCUGAUCUGGCCACGGACCACUUGCUGGGCUGUGAUCUGUCUAUUGCUUCAAAACACAUCAGCAAACCUGUGCAAGAACCUCUGGUGCUGCCUGAGGUCUUUGCCAACUUGAACUCUGUCAUGUGUGUGGAGGGUGAAGCUGGAAGUGGAAAGACGGUCCUCCUGAAGAAAAUAGCUUUUCUGUGGGCAUCUGGAUGCUGUCCCCUGUUAAACAGGUUCCAGCUGGUUUUCUACCUCUCCCUUAGUUCCACCAGACCAGACGAGGGGCUGGCCAGUAUCAUCUGUGACCAGCUCCUAGAGAAAGAAGGAUCUGUUACUGAAAUGUGCAUGAGGAACAUCAUCCAGCAGUUAAAGAAUCAGGUCUUAUUCCUUUUAGAUGACUACAAAGAAAUAUGUUCAAUCCCUCAAGUCAUAGGAAAACUGAUUCAAAAAAACCACUUGUCCCGGACCUGCCUAUUGAUUGCUGUCCGUACAGACAGGGCCAGGGACAUCCGUCGAUACCUAGAGACGAUUCUAGAGAUCAAAGCAUUUCCCUUUUAUAAUACUGUCUGUAUAUUACGGAAGCUCUUUUCACAUAAUAUGACUCGUCUGCGAAAGUUUAUGGUUUACUUUGGAAAGAACCAAAGUUUGCAGAAGAUACAGAAAACUCCUCUCUUUGUGGCAGCGAUCUGUGCUCAUUGGUUUCAGUAUCCUUUUGACCCAUCCUUUGAUGAUGUGGCUGUUUUCAAGUCCUAUAUGGAACGCCUUUCCUUAAGGAACAAAGCGACAGCUGAAAUUCUCAAAGCAACUGUGUCCUCCUGUGGUGAGCUGGCCUUGAAAGGGUUUUUUUCAUGUUGCUUUGAGUUUAAUGAUGAUGAUCUCGCAGAAGCAGGGGUUGAUGAAGAUGAAGAUCUAACCAUGUGCUUGAUGAGCAAAUUUACAGCCCAGAGACUAAGACCAUUCUACCGGUUUUUAAGUCCUGCCUUCCAAGAAUUUCUUGCGGGGAUGAGGCUGAUUGAACUCCUGGAUUCAGAUAGGCAGGAACAUCAAGAUUUGGGACUGUAUCAUUUGAAACAAAUCAACUCACCCAUGAUGACUGUAAGCGCCUACAACAAUUUUUUGAACUAUGUCUCCAGCCUCCCUUCAACAAAAGCAGGGCCCAAAAUUGUGUCUCAUUUGCUCCAUUUAGUGGAUAACAAAGAGUCAUUGGAGAAUAUAUCUGAAAAUGAUGACUACUUAAAGCACCAGCCAGAAAUUUCACUGCAGAUGCAGUUACUUAGGGGAUUGUGGCAAAUUUGUCCACAAGCUUACUUUUCAAUGGUUUCAGAACAUUUACUGGUUCUUGCCCUGAAAAUCGCUUAUCAAAGCAACACUGUUGCUGCGUGUUCUCCAUUUGUUUUGCAAUUCCUUCAAGGGAGAACACUGACUUUGGGUGUGCUUAACUUACAGUACUUUUUCGACCACCCAGAAAGCUUGUCAUUGUUGAGGAGCAUCCACUUCUCAAUACGAGGAAAUAAGACAUCACCCAGAGCACAUUUUUCAGUUCUGGAAACAUGUUUUGACAAAUCACAGGUGCCAACUAUAGAUCAGGACUAUGCUUCUGCCUUUGAACCUAUGAAUGAAUGGGAGCGAAAUUUAGCUGAAAAAGAGGAUAAUGUAAAGAGCUAUAUGGAUAUGCAGCGCAGGGCAUCACCAGACCUUAGUACUGGCUAUUGGAAACUUUCUCCAAAGCAGUACAAGAUUCCCUGUCUAGAAGUCGAUGUGAAUGAUAUUGAUGUUGUAGGCCAGGACAUGCUUGAGAUUCUAAUGACAGUUUUCUCAGCUUCACAGCGCAUCGAACUCCAUUUAAACCACAGCAGAGGCUUUAUAGAGAGCAUCCGCCCAGCUCUUGAGCUGUCUAAGGCCUCUGUCACCAAGUGCUCCAUAAGCAAGUUGGAACUCAGCGCAGCUGAACAGGAACUGCUUCUCACCCUGCCUUCCCUGGAAUCUCUUGAAGUCUCAGGGACAAUCCAGUCACAAGACCAAAUCUUUCCUAAUCUGGAUAAGUUCCUGUGCCUGAAAGAACUGUCUGUGGAUCUGGAGGGCAAUAUAAAUGUUUUUUCAGUCAUUCCUGAAGAAUUUCCAAAUUUCCACCAUAUGGAGAAAUUAUUGAUCCAAAUUUCAGCUGAGUAUGAUCCUUCCAAACUAGUAAAAUUAAUUCAAAAUUCUCCAAACCUUCAUGUUUUCCAUCUGAAGUGUAACUUCUUUUCGGAUUUUGAGUCUCUCAUGACUAUGCUUGUUUCCUGUAAGAAACUCACAGAAAUUAAGUUUUUGGAUUCAUUUUUUCAAGCCGUCCCAUUUGUUGCCAGUUUGCCAAAUUUUAUUUCUCUGAAGAUAUUAAAUCUUGAAGGCCAGCAAUUUCCUGAUGAGGAAACAUCAGAAAAAUUUGCCUACAUUUUAGGUUCUCUUAGUAACCUGGAAGAAUUGAUCCUUCCUACUGGGGAUGGAAUUUAUCGAGUGGCCAAACUGAUCAUCCAGCAGUGUCAGCAGCUUCAUUGUCUCCGAGUCCUCUCAUUUUUCAAGACUUUGAAUGAUGACAGCGUGGUGGAAAUUGCCAAAGUAGCAAUCAGUGGAGGUUUCCAGAAACUUGAGAACCUAAAGCUUUCAAUCAAUCACAAGAUUACAGAGGAAGGAUACAGAAAUUUCUUUCAAGCACUGGACAACAUGCCAAACUUGAAGGAGUUGGACAUCUCCAGGCAUUUCACAGAGUGUAUCAAAGCUCAGGCCACAACAGUCAAGUCUUUGAGUCAAUGUGUGUUACGACUACCAAGGCUCAUUAGACUGAACAUGUUAAGUUGGCUCUUGGAUGCAGAUGAUAUUGCAUUGCUUAAUGUCAUGAAAGAAAGACAUCCUCAAUCUAAGUACUUAACUAUUCUCCAGAAAUGGAUACUGCCGUUCUCUCCAAUCAUUCAGAAAUAAAAGAUUCAGCUAAAAACUGCUGAAUCAAUAAUUUGUCUUGGGGCAUAUUGAGGAUGUAAAAAAAGUUGUUGAUUAAUGCUAAAAACCAAAUUAUCCAAAAUUAUUUUAUUAAAUAUUGCAUACAAAAGAAAAUGUGUAAGGCUUGCUAAAAAACAAAACAAAACAAAACAAAACACAGUCCUGCAUACUCACCACCAAGCUCAAGAAAUAAAUCAUCACCAAUACCUUUGAGGUCCCUGAGUAAUCCACCCCAGCUAAAGGCAAACCCUUCAAUCAGGUUUAUACAGCUAACCCUCCAUUGUCCAUGGUCAACAGGGAAGGGGUUGGGGACAGGUCUGCCAAUCUAUCUAAAAGCCACAAUAGGGAAGAAGUAUUCAAUUUAUAUAAUAAAUGGCUAACUUAACGGUUGAAUCAGUUUCAUACAUGGAUGCAACGGGUUUAACACAGGAUCCACAUGAAUCUUCUGUGGGCCAAGAGAUAUUCCUUAAUCCUUGUAGAAUAUUCCUUAAUCCUUGUAGAACCUGUUUUCUAUAUUGAACUAGCUUUGGUACAGUAGAGUUAACUUACUUUCCAUUUAUCCACUGCCAAUAUAAAGAGGAAAUAGGGGUUAGGGAAAAAUGACUUCAUUCCAGAGGCUUCUCAGAGUUCAACAUAUGCUAUAAUUUAGAAUUUUCUUAUGAAUCCACUCUACUUGGGUAGAAAAUAUUUUAUCUCUAGUGAUUGCAUAUUAUUUCCAUAUCAUAGUAUUUCAUAGUAUUAUAUUUGAUAUGAGUGUCUAUAUCAACGUCAGUGUCCAGAAUUUCAUUCCUACCAGUUAAGUAGUUUUCUGAACGGCCAGAAGACCAUUCUAAAUUCAUGAUACUACUAUAAGUUGGUAAACAACCAUACUUUUAUCCUCAUUUUUAUUCUCACUAAGAAAAAAGUCAACUCCCCUCCCCUUGCCCAAGUAUGAAAUAUAGGGACAGUAUGUAUGGUGUGGUCUCAUUAUUUGUUUAGAAAACCACUUACGACUGGGUGCGGUGGCUCACACCUGUAAUCCCAGCACUUUGGGAGGCUGAGGUGGGCGAAUCAUUUGAGGCGAGGAAUUCGAGACCAGCCUGGCCAGCAUGGUGAAACCCCAUCUCUACUAAAAAUACAAAAAUUAGCCAGGUGUGCUGGCAUAUGCCUGUAGUCCCAGCCACUAGGGCGGCUGAGACGCAAGACUUGCUUGAACCCGGGAGGCAGAGGUUGCAGUGAGCCAAGAUGGCGCCACUGCAUUCCAGCCUGGGCAACAGAGUGAGACCCUGUCUCAAAACAAAAAACAAAACCACUUAUAUUGCUAGCUACAUUAAGAGUUUCUGAAUAUGUUACUGAGCUUGCUUGUGGUAACCAUUUAUAAUAUCAGAAAGUAUAUGUACACCAAAACAUGUUGAACAUCCAUGUUGUACAACUGAAAUAUAAAUAAUUUUGUCAAUUAUACCUAAAUAAAACUGGAAAAAAAUUUCUGGAAGUUUAUAUCUAAAAAUGUUAAUAGUGCGUACCUCUAGGAAGUGGGCCUGGAAGCCAUUCUUACUUUUCAGUCUCUCCCAUUCUGUACUGUUUUUUGUUUUACUUGUGCCUGCAUUAUUUUUCUAUUUAAAACAAAAAUAAAUCUAGUUUAGCACU